ACGGUGAUCCUGGUGCUUGCACCGGGUGAUCAGUGGCGAACGGGUGAGUAACACGUGAGUAACCUGCCCCCGACCCUGGGAUAACCCCGGGAAAUCGGAGCUAAUACCGGAUACGAGACGCACACGCAUGUGUAGCGUCUGGAAAGAAUUUCGGUCGGGGAUGGACUCGCGGCCUAUCAGCUUGUUGGUGGGGUAAUGGCCCACCAAGGCGACGACGGGUAGCCGGCCUGAGAGGGCGACCGGCCACACUGGGACUGAGAACACGGGCCCAGACUCCUACGGGAGGCAGCAGUGGGGAAUAUUGCACAAUGGGCGAAAGCCUGAUGCAGCGACGCCGCGUGGGGAUGAAGGCCUUCGGGUUGUAAACCCCUUUCAGCAGGGAAGAAGCGAGAGUGACGGUACCUGCAGAAGAAGCGCCGGCUAACUACGUGCCAGCAGCCGCGGUAAUACGUAGGGCGCAAGCGUUGUCCGGAUUUAUUGGGCGUAAAGAGCUCGUAGGCGGUUUGUCGCGUCUGCUGUGAAAACCCGAGGCUCAACCUCGGGCCUGCAGUGGGUACGGGCAGACUAGAGUGCGGUAGGGGAGACUGGAAUUCCUGGUGUAGCGGUGGAAUGCGCAGAUAUCAGGAGGAACACCGAUGGCGAAGGCAGGUCUCUGGGCCGCAACUGACGCUGAGGAGCGAAAGCAUGGGGAGCGAACAGGAUUAGAUACCCUGGUAGUCCAUGCCGUAAACGUUGGGCACUAGGUGUGGGGCUCAUUCCACGAGUUCCGUGCCGCAGCAAACGCAUUAAGUGCCCCGCCUGGGGAGUACGGCCGCAAGGCUAAAACUCAAAGGAAUUGACGGGGGCCUGCACAAGCGGCGGAGCAUGCGGAUUAAUUCGAUGCAGCGCGAAGAACCUUACCAAGGCUUGACAUAUACCGAAAACUCCUGGAGACAGGGGGUCCGCAAGGGCGGUAUACAGGUGGUGCAUGGUUGUCGUCAGCUCGUGUCGUGAGAUGUUGGGUUAAGUCCCGCAACGAGCGCAACCCUCGUCCCAUGUUGCCAGCGGGUUAUGCCGGGGACUCAUGGGAGACUGCCGGGGUCAACUCGGAGGAAGGUGGGGAUGACGUCAAAUCAUCAUGCCCCUUAUGUCUUGGGCUUCACGCAUGCUACAAUGGCCGGUACAAAGGGCUGCGAUACCGCGAGGUGGAGCGAAUCCCAAAAAGCCGGUCUCAGUUCGGAUUGGGGUCUGCAACUCGACCCCAUGAAGUCGGAGUCGCUAGUAAUCGCAG
RNAcentral lists this ribosomal RNA (1270 nucleotides) under uncultured bacterium. RNAcentral's name for it is "bacterial SSU rRNA". It matches the Rfam family "Bacterial small subunit ribosomal RNA", at positions 66 to 1347 of the family's 1533-position model. The record is from RNAcentral.